This is a long non-coding RNA of Drosophila mojavensis, 507 nucleotides long. RefSeq lists it as uncharacterized. The transcript has 2 exons. The record is from RefSeq and is a predicted model, not a curated record. Lineage: Eukaryota; Metazoa; Arthropoda; Insecta; Diptera; Drosophilidae.
UACAAAUAAUACAUUAACAUAUUAAUUUGCAAAGCUAUAGAAGAAUAUUUUUACAAAAUUAACAUUACUCAGUAGGCUUUGGUGUAUAAACUAUAUAUUCGUAUACGAAGCUUGUGUUUAUUAUAUUCAGUUUCUGCUCUGUAGCACCCAAAGUGACAUCGUUUCAGUUUUUUAUAAAAAAUUAGUAAAGAAAAUGUUGCCUACGAAUAUAUUACAUAUCUACAUUAGAUUAGGAUAAAGAAAAACCCAAGACACAGCUACACAUUUAAAGGCUUUGAUUUGGUUCGAUUUAGUAUUUCCAAUAGUUUUCAUUGAACGUUUACACCAUGGUUAUGCAUCCUGUUGUACUGCUCGAGAGAGAUAUUUGGACCUCUGUUAGAGUCUCAUCAUUACAAUCUGGUUUGUUUAUGUUUUUAUUGUGAUUAGCGUAAUCACAGAAUGGACGUUUUUCAACUCAAGUGUGAUCGGCGGUUAAAUUAAUAAAGUAUAAAUUAAUAAGUAUAAAAA